UACGAAGGGGGCUAGCGUUGCUCGGAAUUACUGGGUGUAAAGCGCACGUAGGCGGCUUGUUAAGUCAGGGGUGAAAUCCUGGAGCUCAACUCCAGAACUGCCUUUGAUACUGGCGAGCUUGAGUUCGGGAGAGGUGAGUGGAACUGCGAGUGUAGAGGUGAAAUUCGUAGAUAUUCGCAAGAACACCAGUGGCGAAGGCGGCUCACUGGCCCGAUACUGACGCUGAGGUGCGAAAGCGUGGGGAGCAAACAGG
RNAcentral lists this ribosomal RNA (253 nucleotides) under uncultured bacterium. RNAcentral's name for it is "partial 16S ribosomal RNA". It matches the Rfam family "Bacterial small subunit ribosomal RNA", at positions 524 to 776 of the family's 1533-position model. The record is from RNAcentral.